UAGGGAAUCUUCCACAAUGGACGCAAGUCUGAUGGAGCAACGCCGCGUGAGUGAAGAAGGUCUUCGGACCGUAAAACUCUGUUGUUAGAGAAGAACACGAGUGAGAGUAACUGUUCAUUCGAUGACGGUAUCUAACCAGCAAGUCACGGCUAACUACGUGCCGG
Molecule: ribosomal RNA, 164 nt
Filed under: uncultured bacterium
Lineage: Bacteria
Description: partial 16S rRNA
Rfam family: Bacterial small subunit ribosomal RNA
Source: RNAcentral